This 1421-nucleotide ribosomal RNA is filed under the name uncultured bacterium. RNAcentral's name for it is "bacterial SSU rRNA". It matches the Rfam family "Bacterial small subunit ribosomal RNA". The record is from RNAcentral.
AGGAUGAACGCUGACGGCGUGCCUAACACAUGCAAGUCUAGGAGAACGUUAUCUUCGGAUAACUAUUAAACUGGCGAACGGGUGAGUAACGCGUAGAUUAUCUGCCUCCAGCUCCAACAUAACACAGGGAAACUUGUGCUAAUAUUGGAUGUGGCAAUUUAUUGUCAAAGCUUCGGCGGCUGGAGAUGAGUCUGCGUCUGAUUAGCUAGUUGGUAAGGUAAUGGCUUACCAAGGCUACGAUCAGUAGCGGGUUUGAGAGGACGAUCCGCCACACUGGAACUGAGACACGGUCCAGACUCCUACGGGAGGCAGCAGUGAGGAAUUUUGGUCAAUGGGGGCAACCCUGAACCAGCGACGCCGUGUGUGGGAUGACGGGGCUAUGCUCUGUAAACCACUGUCAGAUGGGAAGAAAAGGCUCCUCGGGGGCCUGGGACUGUACCAUCAGAGGAAGGACCGGCUAACUACGUGCCAGCAGCCGCGGUAAUACGUAGGGUCCAAGCGUUAUCCGGAAUUACUGGGUAUAAAGGGUGCGUAGGCGGACUUGUGCGUCUAAGGUUAAAUACCACGGCUUAACCGUGGAAAUGCCUUGGAUACGGCAAGUCUUGAGUGUGAGAGAGGAAGGUAGAAUUCCUGGUGUAGCGGUGAAAUGCGUAGAUAUCAGGAGGAAUACCAGUUGCGAAGGCGGCCUUCUGGCUCAUUACUGACGCUCAGGCACGAAAGCGUGGGGAGCGAACAGGAUUAGAUACCCUGGUAGUCCACGCCCUAAACGAUGUAUGCUUGGUGUUGGGUCUUAGGACUCAGUGCCGGAGGAAAUCCGUUAAGCAUACCACCUGGGGAGUACGAUCGCAAGGUUGAAACUCAAAGGAAUUGACGGGGGCCCGCACAAGCGGUGGAUUAUGUGGUUUAAUUCGAUGCAACGCGAAGAACCUUACCCGGGCUUGAAGUGCAGUGGACGAUCCUUGAAAGGGGAUUUUUCUUCGGAACUGCUGCAUAGGUGCUGCAUGGUUGUCGUCAGCUCGUGCCGUGAGGUGUUGGGUUAAGUCCCGCAACGAGCGCAACCCCUAUCUCUAGUUGCCAGCACGUUAAGGUGGGAACUCUAGAGAGACUGCCCGCGCAAGCGGUGAGGAAGGUGGGGAUGACGUCAAAUCAUCAUGGCCCUUAUGUCCGGGGCUACACACGUAAUACAAUGGUUGGUACAAUGGGUGAAGCCGCAAGGUGGAGGAAAUCCAUAAAGCCAAUCUCAGUUCGGAUUGGAGUCUGCAACUCGACUCCAUGAAGUUGGAAUCGCUAGUAAUCGUAGGUCAGCAUACUACGGUGAAUACGUUCCCGGGCCUUGUACACACCGCCCGUCAAGCCAUGGAAGCCGGAGGUGCCCGAAGCGGUAUUUUAAUACCGUUAAGGCAAAUUUGGUAACUAGGGCU